Molecule: long non-coding RNA, 4024 nt
Filed under: Oryza sativa (Asian cultivated rice)
Lineage: Eukaryota; Viridiplantae; Streptophyta; Magnoliopsida; Poales; Poaceae
Description: long non-coding RNA (OSAT_LNC000259)
Source: RNAcentral
UUCGGAACCCAAACAUUCCUUGGCCACAUCGCCGUCUCGUCUAGUCUCCACGGCGACGGCGCCGCCGCUUCUCGGUCGCCGGCGCACCCGCCGCCUCUUUUCGGCUCGCCGGCGGCGCGUAGGGACUCGAGGAAAUGCUUCUGCGUCGCCAUCACUACCCGAAUCAAGUACGCAAAGUGCGGCCAUCAUUUCUCUCUUAUUUACUACUCUCUUUUUCUGUCGUGAAUCUGAACGUUAAGAGAGAUUUUUUUUCUUCUUCUUUUACUGUACCUGAAUAUUUGUGAAUGCUGAUGAUUGAUACUACUUGCGCACGAUUCUCAAAGUGUACAUACUAGUUCUAGCAGUGGCAAAUUUACACGGAAUUUUGAUGGAUUUGAGUAGUGACCAUCAUCCGGAAUGUUCAUUCUGCUGAACACCUGCAAAGAGUUGUCACAACUGGAUGCUGUUCUUGAACUCUGUAGUCUGUUCAUGUAGUUUGGAAGAUGUGGUUUUUCAUGGACGGUUGACCAAAAUUAGCUCAUGCUCAUCUCAGAAUUGAAGAAAUCUUAGCUUGGAAAGUACCAUCUGAUCUAACAGCACACCAAGUGCAAAGAACAGGCCUACUGUGAUACCAAAGAUAACCUUGUCACUGAAUUCACCUGUGGAUAGAGUAGAGGCAGGCGCAGGAACUGCUUUUGCUGAACUACAACGGUGACUGAGCAUAGGACCACAUAGCUUUGGAUUACCAAUGAAGCAAUCUGUGAAUGUGCUAAGCUGGCCUUCAGUUGGGAUAGGCCCUUCUAGGUCAUUGUAAGAAAUGUUGAAUCUGGUUAGGAAGUUUAGAUUUUUCAGUGCUGCUGGGAUUGUACCAGAUAGUUUGUUGCUUGAUAAAUCCAGUGUUAGCAGAUUUGUGAGGUUGCAGAUCGACUGGGGGAUAUCUCCAUAUAAUUUGUUAGCGCUCAAAUUGAGUUCAAGGAGCCCUUUCAACUGACCAAUCUCUGGAGGGAUCAAACCAGUGAAUUUAUUGCUGCCUAGAUCCAGCAUUAUGGGGAAAGCAUUGGCCUUGCGGUAUUGAAGUAGUGAUGUAAGACUAUAUAUGGGUAGUUGAAAUGCUCUAGGGUGCAAUUGGACUUGGACUGCAGACUUCUCUGACCUAAGCAUUGGCAUCUGUACUAAGGCUGUUGGAAUUUCUCCCGUCAGAUUGUUGUUUGAUAUGUCUAGAUAGAAGAGGAAGUUUAGGCUGCUGAUCCAGUCAGGUAUUGGUCCAGUUAAUUGAUUUCUAUUUAAUAUUAGCAUCUCCAGACUCGAGAGUUUUGAUAACCAUCGAGGUAUUUUUCCAUAUAUAAGGAGCAAGCAAUUUGGGAAAGAACCUGAAGAUUGUCAAAUCCAUCAAUGUUAUCAUCGUCCAGUAUUCUCUCAUUCAUGAAGUUUCGGCCAAUAAGAAGGGUGGUGAGGCUGCUGGAGCUCCUUAAUAUCUGUAGUGCAUUUGUUAUGUUUGUAAGAUUGUUGUAACUGAGUGACAGGAAGGAAAGGGAUUUCAGAUUACCUAGUCCCUUUGAUAACUGGCCUUGAAACUUAUUGGAAGAUAGCCGCAGGGCAGUUAGGUUACUACAUGAGUAUAUUGUUUCUGGAAUCUUACCACUGAAGUUGUUCCACAAAAGAUCUAAAGCUUUUAGAUUGGGUAGGUUGGAGAAAUUGACAUUGACGAGCUCCCCACUGAAAUUGUUGCUCCUGAGGUUGAUGGUUAUCAGACUUGUGCAGUUGCUUAAGGUUGAUGGUAUGCCCCCAUACAUUUUGUUGUUGUUCAAAAGGAGUUCUUCCAAUCUGUUGAGCUGGCCUAUAGACUCUGGAAUGUUACCACUGAAGUUGUUCUCUCCGAGGUCAAGAGUAGCCAGCUUCCCUAGUUUGAUAACAUUUUCCCCUUCAAGUGUUCCAUGUAAAUUGUCGUUUGGAAAAGAGAGGCACUCUAUUGAAGUACUCAGCAUUGAAGAGUUCGUCUGGAAUAGUCCCACAAAGGUUGUUGUGGCCAACCUUGAGGACUCUGAGCCUGGAGCAAUUUCCAAGUCCAGGGGGAAUGCUCCCACUGAAUUGGUUGUAACUGAGUUCAAGCACAGCUAAGGAUGGCAAGUUGGUGCAGAAAUUAGUUGGUAUAUGCCCACUAAAUCUAUUGUUGCUAGCACUGAGCGUGAUGAGAUGCGCCAUUCCGUCUAACGACGGCAACUCCGUGGAAAACUUGUUGCUCGAGAUGUUGAGCACCUGCAGAGGCAACUUUAGACCAGUGGUUAGUGGUGGCGACAGUGGUAGAAUUCUGCCGAGGCUGUUGAAGCUGACGUCAAGGAUGAUGAUGCUGCCUGAUGACAUUACUUCUGAUGGUAAUCCGCCGGAUAGUGAGUUGUGCGACAGGUUCAGACGCAGCAAACCUGGCAGUCUGCCAAGAGCAGGUGAUAUGCUGCCUUCCAGCCUCUUGGAGGCCAACAAGACGUCUGUGACCAUGGCGUCCUUGCUGACCAUGCUGCUGCAGGUGAUGCCUUCCCAUGAGCAGCAGUCUGUGCCCAGCCGCCAUGACGCGGCGAGGCCACCGUCCUGCGAGAGCCCUGCUAGGAACUGGAGGAGGCAGUUGUUCUCACGCUCUGUGCAGCAGCUGGUGGAAGAUGCAGAGGAAAGCAUCAGCACAAGAACGAGGCAGAGAAUAGACAUGGGUAAUUUGUUUUUAUUGCUGCUGCUACUGGUUGUGGUGGUGGUGGGUGAUGAAAAUUUGAAACUAAUGGAGUGACCAUAUAUAAUGUUGCUAUUCUGAAUUUGUGAUUUUCCUCAAUUCAGUCGGUACAUAUUAAUUGAGAGAGAGAGGAAUAAAGCAGCAACUUGGUACAGAUUGCUUGAUUGUCUUCUAGAGCUAGGGACCGCAGGGACAAAAAUAUCAGUCCUUGGAUGCUUUUUUCGUGAAACACGGCUUAAUGUUAACCCAAAUCAAGUAGCAGUACAACCGUUUCUGUCUUUCAGAUCAAUUCCCUGUGAAUGCAUGGCAACCUGCUCUGGUUGCAGUGAAAUUAAAGUGUGAAAAACUGAGGAGAAAACGAUAUCUGUUGUCAGAUUCUGAAAUUUAUAAUGGAGGUCUGAAUGAUUCAGUUACCUGUAAGUUGCACGGCCGGAAGAAUGAAUGCUACGGGGUGGCAUCCAAUCCAUGCAUGUUCGGAAGAUCAAUCGGCAAGUAAGGUGAGGCUGCUGUCUCAGAAUUGAAGAAAUCUUAGCUUGGAUAGUACUAUCUGAUCUAACAGCACACCAAGUGCAAAGAACAGGCCAAAUGCGACGCCAAAGAUAACCUUGUCACUGAAUUGAUCUGUGGAAAGAGUGGAGGCAGGAGCAUGAACUGCUUUUGCUGAAUUACAGUGGUGACUGAGCAUACCACCACAUAGCUUUGGAUUACCAAUGAAGCUUGAGUUGUCAAAUGUAUCAAACUGGCCUCCAGUUGGAAUAGGUCCUUCCAGGUCAUUGUUAGAAACAUUGAAGGCAGAAAGGAAGUGCAGCUUGUUCAGUUCCAAAGGGAUUGCACCCAUUAGAUUGUUGCUAGACAAGUCUAGCAUCUCCAGGUUGGUGAGGUUGCAAAUUGCUUGUGGGAUCUCUCCAGAGAAGCUAUUGAAGCUCAAAUCAAGCAUAUCGAGUGCCUUCAGCCGACCAAUCUCUGGAGGGAUCACACUUGUAAAGCCAUUUCUAGCUACAUUUACUUCUGCUCGGAGGAUGCGAUAUUCAUAUUUCCAAUCUUUAAGUGCAGGUAAGUCCUUUUUUGAGGACAUAUAUGUCGGUAAUAUUAAGACCCUUGCAUCAAUAUUGGCCACUGUCUUCUCUGAUUUAAGCAUUGGCAUCUGUAUUAAUGUCAUCAAUAUUUCCCCUGUAAAGCUAUUAUUUGAUAUAUCUAGACAGAUGAGAAAGUUGAGUUUGUUGAUCCAUACAGGUACCGUUCCUGUUAAUCGAUUGUCAUAUAAAAACAACUUCUCCAAAUUUUUGAGCUUCGAUAGCCAGACAGGCAUUUUUCCAGAUAACGAGGACC